This 75-nucleotide transfer RNA is filed under the name Deltaproteobacteria bacterium. Its description in RNAcentral is "tRNA-Thr". It matches the Rfam family "tRNA". From Rfam's summary of the family: Transfer RNA (tRNA) molecules are approximately 80 nucleotides in length. Lineage: Bacteria; Pseudomonadati; Myxococcota; Myxococcia. The record is from RNAcentral.
GCCGCCGUAGCUCAACGGUAGAGCACCUGAUUUGUAAUCAGGGGGUUGCGGGUUCGAUUCCCAUCGGCGGCUCCA